UACGAAGGGGGCUAGAGUUGUUCGGAAUUACUGGGCGUAAAGCGCACGUAGGCGGAUCUAUAAGUCAGAGGUGAAAUCCCCGGGCUCAACCCUGGAAUUGCCUUUGAUACUGUAGAUCUGGAGUCUGGGAGAGGUGAUUGGAAUUCCGAGUGUAUAGGUUAAAUUCGUAGAUAUUCGGAGGAACACCAUUGGCGAAGGCGGCUCACUGGCCCGAGACUGCCGCAGAGAUUCGAAAUCGUGGGGAGCAAACAGG
RNAcentral lists this ribosomal RNA (253 nucleotides) under uncultured bacterium. RNAcentral's name for it is "partial 16S ribosomal RNA". It matches the Rfam family "Bacterial small subunit ribosomal RNA", at positions 524 to 776 of the family's 1533-position model. The record is from RNAcentral.